Molecule: microRNA precursor, 121 nt
Filed under: Octodon degus (degu)
Lineage: Eukaryota; Metazoa; Chordata; Mammalia; Rodentia; Octodontidae
Description: miRNA (ENSODEG00000021970.1)
Source: RNAcentral
GGUCUCACUAUGCAGCUCAGGCUGGCCUUGAGCUCACUCUGUAGCCCAGGCUGGUGUAGAACUCACAAGGAUCCUCCUGCUUCAGCCUCCCAAGUGCUGGAAUUACAGGCAUGUGCCACCA